Molecule: long non-coding RNA, 1430 nt
Organism: Schistocerca cancellata (South American locust)
Lineage: Eukaryota; Metazoa; Arthropoda; Insecta; Orthoptera; Acrididae
Exons: 3
Source: RefSeq, a predicted model, not a curated record
CUGCGGGCCAGUCGCGUUCGGAAGGGCCCCGCGCGCGGACCGCGUGCCAGCCACCGCCAUGGAGAACCUACACCACAGCCCGCUAUCCUCCGUCAUCGUCGCCAAUGUCGCCGCCAUCGCCCUGCAGACAGGGCUGUGCUGACGUCCCACCCCACUCCCACCCGGGAACUGGCGGGAAAUUAAAAAUGGUGGUACCCUAUCCAGGACUCGAACACCGGUCCUCCUGAAAAAAAAAGCCCAAAUGCACCCCCUUAACACAAUUAGGCCACCAGAGGCACCUGAAAUUGGCAGUAGCCAAUAGAAAUGCAGCGUCCGAUCACAACGGGGAUAUAAGGCGAGCCCAGCAGCUCUGCAGCCUCAGUUGCAGUCAGUCAGUCAGUCAGUCAGUCACCAUUAAGUGCCAGCCAAGAUCGUCCAGCGCUGCCCAGUCGCAGCAGUAGCAGCAGAAUAGGAAGAGGCUAUGGAAGCUGAACCCGACUUCCUCCAUCCUGUUGGAGUCUGCAACACCGACAUGUCCCAGCCCUUCAGGACCUGCAGCAACGACAGCAUCCUGGGAUCCUGUUGCGCACCUGAUCAGCUUAGUGGAGCAGGACGGUCGGCUUUUAUUAUUGGUUGAGGACAACCAGCCAACCCCUGACUCGCUGAAGUGCACUGGGGGUCCUAAUCAGCAUGACGCAGGUCGGUACUGGACCCCCAUCAUACGCACCAUCGCAGAAUAUUCCAGUGAUCCUGCAUGGACAAAGUGAGGAUGUAAUGGAUGAGAAGAUAUCAAUUAAGCCCUGUGCACCAGUGCUGUUUACUUCAGUGUAUAGUUUAAUAGUUAGUGUUUCGAAGUGUUUACAUACUGGUAUAGAAGCAACCGCAGACAGAGACUGGCUUGUUGUGAUAGAGAUCUAGAAUGCAACUAGAAGUAUUAAAGUGCAGUUUACAGAGGUGGAAUGGGAUGAACUGUGUCGUGCAAAAGUCUACAUCAAGCAGCAGUUGACCGCCGAGUAUCAUCCUAGCCGUCUCCCGCCAGAAAUUUACUGUGCUGCUCUAACUCUGUCCAUUAUAACAUUGUACAAUGACUCAGCACUCCUUGUGAAAUCAGGUGAUGCCUGCAUUUAUCUACAGCACUGCACUGUUAAAAACUUGUUCGGUAUACAGAUGGUGUUAUCUAUUGCGUUGGAAAGAUUGAACAUAUGGCUGCCUUGUGUUGAAGUUCUGUAUAGAGAAAUUGCAGAGUAUCUAAGUAAGAACAACGUGCAUGUAAACUAUUUCGAACAGUGGGUCAGUAUGGUGCCAAUGAAAACUAAUGUACUGCCAGAAUGUUUGAGAGAAAUACAUGCUGAAUUCUGUGCUUACAAGACGGCUUUAUUUUCUGUGUUAUGUACUGGCGAGAAUCUGGUGAUGUAAUGCAUCAUGUGUAUGAUUACGGAAUAAAAAAUGUA